GCGGGCGGGUGGUGGAGGA
RNAcentral lists this microRNA (19 nucleotides) under Macrophomina phaseolina MS6. RNAcentral describes it as "miR-3141". The record is from RNAcentral. Lineage: Eukaryota; Fungi; Ascomycota; Dothideomycetes; Botryosphaeriales; Botryosphaeriaceae.